RNAcentral lists this long non-coding RNA (857 nucleotides) under Homo sapiens (human). RNAcentral describes it as "HSALNT0148892". Lineage: Eukaryota; Metazoa; Chordata; Mammalia; Primates; Hominidae. The record is from RNAcentral.
CUGGCUUCCACUUCCGUGGCUCACCAGGAAACUGUGAAGCACAUAUAAAAAUCCACAGGAAGUUGGAAAGAUUUUUUAUUACUAGCCUUGAGGCAAUUCACAUGCUUUUUGCAAAGCUGUUAUAAACUGACAAAUAUACAAGAUGGAUGAUAUUGUAACACACACCUAGAGUGAAAAUGGAGUGCAGAACAAAAUGAUCCACAUCAGAAGGGAAAGAAGUUAGUCAGAGAGGCUGAACAUCUGCAAGACUUUUGAACAGCAUCAGCUCUGGCUGGACAAACUGCAUGCAUUUUGCCUACACAGAAAAAGAUUACUUCUCUUCCAAAUAACCUUGCUCAACCUACAAAAGCUUGCCGUUUUAUUCAUCAGUGAGAGGCAGUUAGUCAAGAUUCUAGCUGCCAUUUGUGACUCAUCCACACCUGUGAAGUGACAUGGGAUAGAGGAUCCCAUUCCAGAUUCCCCCAGGUGCUCCAUGAAACAGCACAGACUCUGGUUUUCCAUCAUCUCAGUUCCGGGGCCUUAAGGCCUCCCCCUUACCUCUCCUCUGAGUUCCUGUGGAAUCCACACUCCAGAGGUGGCCGCCCCACAGCCUGGGGCCUCCCCAGGGAGCUCUCAUUUGGGACUGCCCCAGCUCUGAUGUGUCAGGAGAGGCAUUUGCCUUUAGCCACCUGUUCAUUUGGGGGAAUUCUCCUAUAGGCUCCCUGUGUUCCCAGUUCUACAUUCAAAUCAUUCUGGGUCUUUUGGUCCUUGUGAUAAAACAUGAAACAGCAGAAAUAAACGUUUAACUAUUAAAACAAAGAGACCAAUUAAUUAUUGUUGUGGAAGUAUGUGAUGCUAUAUUAAAAACUAUUUUGGAA